UUUCCGUAGGUGAACCUGCGGAAGGAUCAUUAGUGAAUUUAAUAUGUUAGCGGACCUCUUCCGAGCCCCUAGCAUCAAAUCAUAUCCAUAACACCUGUGAUCUGUAAGACUGUCUUGAAAACGAAAGUGAUUAGAGCGCCUGCCCAUUUUAUACAAACAGUGAAGUAACAAACGUAGAAUUAUUAUAAUCUAAUAAAACUUUCAACAACGGAUCUCUUGGCUCUC
RNAcentral lists this unclassified non-coding RNA (225 nucleotides) under plant metagenome. Its description in RNAcentral is "partial contains small subunit ribosomal RNA, internal transcribed spacer 1, and 5.8S ribosomal RNA". The record is from RNAcentral.